RNAcentral lists this unclassified non-coding RNA (242 nucleotides) under Hevea brasiliensis (rubber tree). Lineage: Eukaryota; Viridiplantae; Streptophyta; Magnoliopsida; Malpighiales; Euphorbiaceae. The record is from RNAcentral.
CACUUCUCCACUUAUAAGAAUGAAACCAAUCACCAUCAAUAAUGGAUGAAGCACAGCAUAAAUAAGGUCUUCUUCUUGAGUAGAAGAAGAAUGAGGGUAAAAGCUAGUUUUAAAGUAAAGAGCCCAAGUUAGAACAAGAAAAGCAACAAUGGAAGCUGAAAGUCUUGCGAAGACAAGUAGUGAAAAUGAGUGUGCAGCAGCCAUGGCCAGUGAGUACAGUGGCUCAGUGGUAGUGUUCAAAG